CCUACGGGUGGCUGCAGUGAGGAAUAUUGGUCAAUGGCCGGAAGGCUGAACCAGCCAAGCCGCGUGAAGGACGAAGGUGUCAAGCAUUGUACACCUCUUUUGUCAAGGGAAAAAAUCAGGCUCGAGAGCCUGGCCGAGUGUACUUGAAGAAAAAGCAUCGGCUAACUCCGUGCCAGCAGCCGCGGUAAUACGGAGGAUGCGAGCGUUAUCCGGAUUUAUUGGGUUUAAAGGGAGCGUAGGUGGGUUGUUAAGUCAGUUGUGAAAGUUCGCGGUUCAACCGUAGAAUGGCAGUUGAAACUGGCAGUCUUGAGUACAGUAGAGGUGGGCGGAAUUCGUGGUGUAGCGGUGAAAUGCAUAGAUAUCACGAAGAACUCCGAUUGCGAAGGCAGUAUACUGGCCUGAAACUGACACUGAGGCUCGAAAGUGUGGGUAUCAAACAGGAUUAGAUACCCGGGUAGUC
Molecule: ribosomal RNA, 460 nt
Filed under: uncultured bacterium
Lineage: Bacteria
Description: partial 16S ribosomal RNA
Rfam family: Bacterial small subunit ribosomal RNA
Source: RNAcentral